This 253-nucleotide ribosomal RNA is filed under the name uncultured bacterium. RNAcentral's name for it is "partial 16S ribosomal RNA". It matches the Rfam family "Bacterial small subunit ribosomal RNA", at positions 524 to 776 of the family's 1533-position model. The record is from RNAcentral.
UACAGAGGUCUCAAGCGUUGUUCGGAUUCAUUGGGCGUAAAGGGUGCGUAGGUGGCGCUGUAAGUCGGGUGUGAAAUUUCGGAGCUUAACUCCGAAACUGCAUUCGAUACUGCGGUGCUUGAGGACUGGAGAGGAGACUGGAAUUUACGGUGUAGCAGUGAAAUGCGUAGAGAUCGUAAGGAAGACCAGUGGCGAAGGCGGGUCUCUGGACAGUUCCUGACACUGAGGAGCGAAAGCGUGGGUAGCAAACAGG